GCGGCAUGCCUUACACAUGCAAGUCGAACGGCAGCACGGGUGCUUGCACCUGGUGGCGAGUGGCGAACGGGUGAGUAAUAUAUCGGAACGUACCUUAUCGUGGGGGAUAACGCAGCGAAAGCUGCGCUAAUACCGCAUACGCCCUGAGGGGGAAAGCGGGGGACCGUAAGGCCUCGCGCGAUUAGAGCGGCCGAUAUCUGAUUAGCUUGUUGGUGGGGUAAAAGCCCACCAAGGCGACGAUCAGUAGCUGGUCUGAGAGGACGAUCAGCCACACUGGGACUGAGACACGGCCCAGACUCCUACGGGAGGCAGCAGUGGGGAAUUUUGGACAAUGGGGGCAACCCUGAUCCAGCAAUGCCGCGUGAGUGAAGAAGGCCUUCGGGUUGUAAAGCUCUUUUGUCAGGGAAGAAACAGCAGCUCUAACACAGUCUGCGAAUGACGGUACCUGAAGAAUAAGCACCGGCUAACUACGUGCCAGCAGCCGCGGUAAUACGUAGGGUGCAAGCGUUAAUCGGAAUUACUGGGCGUAAAGCGUGCGCAGGCGGUUAUACAAGACAGGCGUGAAAUCCCCGGGCUUAACCUGGGGAAUGGCGUCUGUGACUGUAUGACUAGAGUGUGUCAGAGGGGGGUAGAAUUCCACGUGUAGCAGUGAAAUGCGUAGAUAUGUGGNAGGAAUACCAAUGGCGAAGGCAGCCCCCUGGGAUAACACUGACGCUCAUGCACGAAAGCGUGGGGAGCAAACAGGGAUUAGAUACCCUGGUAGUCCACGCCCUAAACGAUGCCGACUAGUUGUUGGGAA
This 799-nucleotide ribosomal RNA is filed under the name uncultured beta proteobacterium. Its description in RNAcentral is "bacterial SSU rRNA". It matches the Rfam family "Bacterial small subunit ribosomal RNA", at positions 39 to 829 of the family's 1533-position model. The record is from RNAcentral. Lineage: Bacteria; Pseudomonadati; Pseudomonadota; Betaproteobacteria.